CUAUUUAUGAUUCACUUAUGAUUCUGAACCAGAGGCAGCCAAAUCUAGUUAUAAGCAUCAAGAUUAGAAAUAGGUCAAAUAAUUAGUAAUAGUCUAAAAUGUUAGUAAGAAAAAUCCAAAAAAGACCAAACUAGAGGACUCAAAAAUAGAUAUAGAACAAUACUUCAGAUUUUGUCAUUUUGUCACCAUAUUUGUUAAAAUUUUGCUCGCAUCAUUACCCACUUCACAACCACAAAAUAGAGCUAUCUGCAAACAAGAAAACCUUAUGGCAUAUCGAUUAAGCAAAGGAGAACAGGAUUUCCCUUCCAGAGUAGGAUACAACACAUAUAACACAGACAUAGACAUUCACAAAAGAGUUGCACGGUUACACAUACAUCUGAUCAAGAAAAGAAAACGAGGGAAAAUCAAGUAAAGAAAGAAAAACACAAUAAGCAAGAAACUCGAGAUCUGAUCGGCAUUGGAUUGUAUGCAACUAGAAUAGCAUGCACAGCUUGUACUGGCAAUCAAUUAUCGGAUACCAAUUUUCCCAAAUGUAUUUUAAAGUUAAAGCUAAUGCAACUCAAUUGGUCAUUGUUUUCAUCCUUGAUUAUGAGCUUAAGCGUGUAAGAGCCCUGUAAAAACAAAACCGACCGCGUGAUAAAAAUGAAUUAUAAUGAAAUAGAGAGAGGUAUUGGCUUCAAUUGCAAUGUUGGAUAGCAGUAUAGUAGAGAGAUUUAAAAAAUAUUUGGUCUUUCAGAUAUAUUUUAUCCAUGAAAUAAAGAUUCAAUACUCAAAUGCAUCAUUUUCUUCAGAGCUACUGAUAUUUAACAAGCAAGUAAGCAAGCAAGCAGGGGUUUGGGCUUGGAGGAAUAAGAAAAACAAUCACAGGGUAUAAGCACAGAUGAAGACAAAAGCAAUAAAAUAAAGGAGAGAAGAAAACACUACAUGAAGAUAUUUAUGUAGUUCAACAAUUUGACUGCAUAUAGUGGUGCAGCUGCCAAUAAAUAAUACAGUAGUGUUUCUCCAAAUACAUCAGUACAUGAAAAAUCCAAACACCCUCCCAAAAUCAAAAUUAUAAUCAAAAUGACUUCUGGCUAUUCAUAUGAAAUCUUUCUUUCCUUUUAGCUUCAACUUUAAUACAUUCUUUGAAUAUGAGCCAUAAUCUUAACAGGAGACACGAAGGAAUUAGAACCCAAGAAGGAUUUUUAUCUUCCCUAUUUUUUUUGUAAAAUAUGAUUUUUUAGAGCAUAGAAGUGAGACUAAACCAAUUAUUUUUCCAAAGUCGUACAUCAAGAUAGGUAUGUGAUGAAGUUUACAUUCCUACUCAUAGGCAUAAAGUUGUCCUAAUUGUUGCGCAAGCUUGUUUUGGAGAAAAGUACAUCUACACAACUACUAUCAUUCCUUUUCUUUUAGUCAUUCUAGUAAUAAGCUUAUAUUUUUGCAAGGUCAUUUAGUAACAUUCUAUUAUACCAAUUUUCUAUUUAAUUACUCUAUAUGAGGUUAUAUCCUUUAUGGCAGUUUUUUGAAGUAAAGCAUUUUGGGUGUGAGAUCUUAGCAUCAAGCUUGAGGAAGUGUAAUUACACGUCUCCUUCUAAAUGAAAGGAGGCCAACCCAACCUUUUCCUCAUUCAGUGUAUGUUGAUGGCAAUGCUGUUGUAUUAAGGAAAGUCCAAUUUCAAAAUUUUGGGUUUAAAAAUUCUACCAUCUUGAUUUUCGUUUAACCCCCUGCUCUCCUAUCUCGAUGGCCUAAAUUGAACUUGCCUUCUAUUUCACGACCCUCUACUCUUGUGGUUACCAAUUCUUGCAACAAUUCUUCAUUUUGGGCCAUGAGCUCUUGUUGUUUAGCCUUGUGUGCAAUUCUCUCUCUUUCUUCAUCAGCUCUGUCCCUAGCUUUUUUAUACAUGGCCAAGAAGGAUUCAAAUUGCUAAAAAUCCCCCAUAUCCGCUAGCUCUGAUACCAAUUUGUUACAAGUCUAUUCUAUGAUCUGGUUAUGGGUCUUUGCAAAAUUAAAUUUGCAUGAUUUCAGUCUGCAAUUUGUGUUUCUGGGAAUUCCUACUUUUCUCACCUAUUUUGAAAGUAAAUGGUUAAGAGCUAGUUAAUGAGAGAACACGAUGAUUUCUAAGUUAUAAGGAAACUUAACCUUGUGAUAAUUCUGAUUUGCUUCUUUCCAAUCAUAAUCAAAAUUUAAUAAUACACUCAACACAAAAACUAACUUGAUAACUGUCUCCCACUAAGGAAACUACAAUACAAUCAAAGCAACACAGGAAAAGAAACUACCCCACAAUUUAAGCAACAUAAAAGAGGAAAACCAAAGAAAAUAUCACACACCCGCUACUUUUAAAGGAAAGGAAACUAACACACAUUCUUAACUCGUAACAACUCCUUUCUGAAAUCUAAAAUUUAGCAUUAUGGGAGAAAGGCAAACAACAAAGGUAAACGGCACAUGACAGGGGAACUUGGGAAGAACUAAGAUUCUUAAUCUUAUAUUUAGUAAAACUAGUGAAUGACAUAGAAAAUUCACUUAUUUUUUAUUUGAAUGUCUUAUAUUUCCAUCUAACGUCUAGUAGUAGCGCAACUUUAUCAAGAGACACAAUGUAAAAAGCUCUUAAUGAACUAGGCAAAAAAUUCAGGGAAUAUGAUAUAUCAAUGCCACUGAUUAUGACAUGUGAAAAAAAAAAUGUAAAGUUGAUGAAAUAAGUAAAAGUAUGAAUCAGAAGUGAUGAUAAAUAAUACACAAUUAUUUAAAGAAUAUAUCCCACUAAGGUGCGAAAUGGUCUUGAAGCCAAGUCACAAGUGAGAGCAAUGGCAUGCCUUGAAGAGGCACAAGAGAAAUAAAAUUUCCUAGAACAUUCAAGAUUAAUUAUCACCAUACAUUCAUAAGACAACUAAACUGCAGGUACUUUCUUCUUUUGAAUUUAACAAGCAUGUGUUCCAUCUUGGAUCUCUAUUGAAUUAUUAAUUCUAGAAUUGCUAAAAUACAUGAACGCUUUCCUAAUUUUCCUUGAGUUUUCACUUUAUAAGAAGUAAUUAUAGAGUGCAAACAAUGACUAUUAUAAUUGUAAGUGCAAGCACAACCACACUCAAAUAAUUUGGAUGUUUAAGCUAGAAAUCAUUCAUGAUAGAAUUCAUCACAAAAAGUAUGAUAAGCUGGAGUAGAACAUUGAGAUAGUUAAAAAUGAAUAUUUGAAGGUUAUAGCACAGAUCCUGUCAUAAUGAAACUUACUGGUGGAGUGAAUCCAGAUAAUGUUUGGGUGUGGGAUAGCAAAAAAUUGCCUACUUUAACUGGGCAGGAUAUCUCCUCACAAAGAUCAUGGGUUUCUUUAUGGACAAGCACAGAAAAAUAAGAAACAUAAAUAUCUACCUUCCCACCACUGAUAGAUUUACCAGUAGAAGCUGAGAUAUUGAAGGUAGCUGGGUUGCCUGGCACUACAGGAUCAGGUGAUAUCUCAACUCCAUGGAUCUUUACAUCAUAGUUACCUUUAUUAUCACAGUACUUGACAAUAGUGGCUUGAAUUGAGGGUAAGAGCAGAUGAAUAGCAAAGAGAAGCAAAAGGGUUUGCUUCAACUGAGAAGAUGAUACAGCGUCCAUGGAUACUUUGCUAAGUUCCUUGCUUCUCAGAGACACAGGACUGAUGGAACCCUCGAGAAAUCAAUAAAACGAAGAUUAGUU
Molecule: unclassified non-coding RNA, 3648 nt
Filed under: Hevea brasiliensis (rubber tree)
Lineage: Eukaryota; Viridiplantae; Streptophyta; Magnoliopsida; Malpighiales; Euphorbiaceae
Source: RNAcentral